GCCAAUGAUGAAAGUCUUCAAUUUGGCUGAAAUGCAAAAUAAUUUAUUGCAUUUCUCUGUUGAAUAUCUUGAUCUAGGACGGUCUGAGGC
This is a non-coding RNA of Glycine soja, 90 nucleotides long. NCBI's taxonomy places the organism in Eukaryota, Viridiplantae, Streptophyta, Magnoliopsida, Fabales, Fabaceae. The record is from Rfam.